RNAcentral lists this ribosomal RNA (2074 nucleotides) under Triticum aestivum (bread wheat). RNAcentral describes it as "partial small subunit ribosomal RNA". The record is from RNAcentral. Lineage: Eukaryota; Viridiplantae; Streptophyta; Magnoliopsida; Poales; Poaceae.
GGCUUGGCGUAGUCUUUGGGUGUGGGUGGUGGUGAAGGGUGGAAUAGGAUGGAAGAAGGGGACCAGUUGGGCAGCGGCCGGUCACGGGCGUCGGGACGUGGUGGGGUUGGGUGGAGGGCGUGCUGGUGCUGGGGUUAGGGAGGUGGAGGAAAGCAGCGCGGUAGAGGGAGAUGGUGCGACGUGGUGGUGGAGGCAGGUGGUACGGCGACGCGGUGGAGGGAGGUGCCACGGCGUGGUGGUGGAGGGAGGGGGCGCGACGGCGGGGUGGAGGUAGGUGGAGCAGCGUGGUGGUGGAGGGAGGGGGCGUAGAAACGGCGUGGAAGGAGGCUGACGUGGUGGUACCUCACGCGGCUGUCAGCUAGACGGUGCUGGCCGGGAGGGGUCCGGUGGUGGCGCGGCGGGGACGGUUCCGGCGGCGGCGCCGGGACGGCGCUCGUAGUACCCGCAGCUAGUGGAAGACGCGACACCACCUGCCUAGGUGCCGGGGGGAGGGCGGUACCGACGGAGGAGCGUCACGGGGGUAGGGCGCGUUACCACCGAUGAAGAGGGUGUCGUUUGGCUGACGGCGAACUACCUAGGGAGGCCUAGACCGGCGGUGCCCGGUGUCCCCGCCGGUAGUGGUGGCCUAGGCCACCUCGGCAUCCGACCGGAGGGAGCUGGAGGGAUAUGCCGCACUCGUAUGCCCGUGGGGCAGGGGUACCGCCGUCGGAGUUUACGCACCUCACCAACCACACCGCGUAGGGUCGAUCUAGCUGCUUCAGCAGGGCGUCCAGUCCCGGCUGGAGUGGGGGGAGACGGACCCGCGUAGCGAAACGUCGGAAGGGACAACAGGCUGCCGGUGUCGGCACGUCAGGCCGCUGGCCUCGGUACAUCCGGCACUUCAACUCGAGUUGCGAGGAACUGAAGGACGAGUCAAGCAGUGCUGGGCGCACUGGAGGGUUACGGUACUGGUCGACGUGGCCGGGUGGGAGAACGAGGACGGAGUGGGCGAGCGCGGCGACCCCGAGAAAUGACGUGACGUAACUGAAUGACUGCUCCUCACCUCCUAACUUCCACGAGAGGAAGGUACCACGUAGGGGCGCCCCUACUCUAAACGGCACACGUGGACGUCAGAUGACAGAAACAACGAAAAAAAAUUCUUUUUCCAGUUUUCACGUCUCAUCAGGCGAUUACAAACGAGAACUCCAAGUAAAAUGAGAAAAAAACGUCUUUCCUAUUUACUACAUCUUUUCUACUGGCUGUCCAUACUUCCUCCAGGUAACCCCGGCUCCAAGACCGCUAUCGUCGAACGACAGACCCGUUCGUACUGUGCGUCGAGCAUCCGCACGCACACACAGCAAGCCACAGAACAGCAGGAAGGAGACCGCUCUAGGACGUAGGGGGAGCUCGUGGAGAGAAGACGUUUUAGCUCAUCGGUUAGAGGACAUCAAAACACCCACGUAGUGACGAUGUACGUACGUAGGACAAAGUACGAGGAGAGGUGGGAGGGAUCUCCCGUACGUCGAACAGCCCACGGCCGUACACGAACGUCCAGGAUGGUAGGAUCGUUGGCUACCCAGUGGGGAAAAGUCGCUCGUGACGCACGUCACGCCCGCUCACACUGUACGUCACGCCCACUAACACGGCACGUCGAGCGGCCCGCAGACCCGCUGCUUGGAGUGAACGUCGAGAGAGGAGGUAGAGGAACAACAAGCACCCUUCUUCCCCUGUUCGCGUGACGUGAUCCCCACCAGCCACAGUAUGAAAAAAAUUCAUCAAGUAGAACAAUACAGUAAAAAAUCAUCAGUAGAACGACAUACAAAGUCAAACUGGUACAAUUACGUACGUCGAGAAACAACCACACCCACGUCGAGUGUACGUAAACACCUCAAGUUGCCGCGUGUCCGGACGCGCACGCCAGGGUUUCCUACUUCACUACGUCAAGAUAACCUACGGGACAAUGAGUUAAAACAACAACAACUUUUCACGUGACGUAAUCAAGUAAUAUUUUUAACGUCAAGGAAUGGCACUAAACCAACCACCUCUCACAUCUAAGAUAUACGAUAUUUCGAGGAGACAACAGGUGAACCAUUUG